RNAcentral lists this long non-coding RNA (980 nucleotides) under Nicotiana benthamiana. Its description in RNAcentral is "long non-coding RNA (NBEN_LNC037291)". Lineage: Eukaryota; Viridiplantae; Streptophyta; Magnoliopsida; Solanales; Solanaceae. The record is from RNAcentral.
CUAUGUCAACAAAUCAAUACCCAUCAGUAGCUUGUGAAAUUCAAACUCAUACAAAAAUAGCAGCGCAACAAAUUACAACCAUAGACAUCGGAUUCAAUAUGAAACAUAGGAGAUUAGAAGUAACCUCAAAUUAGCUCUCCAAUUAAUUGAAAUGCGGAAGUUACACGGAUUGAAAUGAAGCGACGAACAGUUCCCUAUGAAUUCCAACGUAAGCAGCAACAACUUCGUCGCUGAAUGCCUUGCAACGGAAUUUAGCUCGUCAACUGCUCUACAAUCAGGGGCGAGAUGUCCGACUGCAGAAUUUUCAAUCCGCAACAUCUGUCUGAGACACAUCAGUAACUCCGGACAAGAAUCACAAACUUAAUACUCGACUGGUAACUCACGCUCGUCAGCUCCAAAUGAAUCUCGCGCACGAGAUCCGAAAUGGACUCAAAUUGACGAAAUUCUAGCAGCAAAAUGAGGCUUAAGAAUUGAAAUUAUUUUCCAACAGCAAAAUGAGGCUUAAGAAUUGAAAUUAUUCAGAAACUAAAGUUUUCUUCAAAUUUCUUCAAGUCUCAACACUAGAAAAUUCAAUUGUCGAACAAAUUUUAUUGAUGAACUAAAUUUUAUCUAUACAUGUGUAUUGUGGCGUGUGUAUUGUAUUGUGCAUUCUCCUAUGUAUCUUCGAGCUUUUUCAAGGAGAAACAAAGCUGCCCCCCUUUUUGUUCCAGGCACCCCCUUUUUUGUUCUGUAUAUUUGUGUCUCUUGUGUAUAGUGUUCCAGGCGCCCUCUUUUUUGCACAAAUUUGGGUUCUCUUUGCUGAAGAAGAUGAAGAACGAGGGUGGGGUUCCUCUGCGCAGCUCUUUUUUGCACAAAUUUGUGUUCUCUUUGCUGAAGAAGAUGAAGAACGAGCCUCUGCGCAACUCUUUUUUGCACAAAUUUGGGUUCUCUUUGUUAAUUGAAUCGGGUUAGGGAUUUUAGGUGGAGAAAUGGGUUUGGGU